RNAcentral lists this unclassified non-coding RNA (218 nucleotides) under Lactarius sp. 2 KW-2015. Its description in RNAcentral is "internal transribed spacer 1". Lineage: Eukaryota; Fungi; Basidiomycota; Agaricomycetes; Russulales; Russulaceae. The record is from RNAcentral.
UCGUACAAAAUGUGAGAGGCAUGCGAGGGCUGUCGCUGACUCAAAGUCGUGCACGCCCGAGUUGUGUUCUCUCACAUAAUCAAUCCAUCUCACCCUUUUGUGCAUCACCGCGUGGGCACCCUUCGGGACCGUCUCGGAGGGGGCUCGCGUUUUCACACAAACCCCCCCUUUUAAAAGUGUAGAAUGACCUCAUUUAUGCGCUAACCCGCAAUCAAUAC